GCUGGGAUAGCUCAGUUGGUAGAUCACCAGACUCUUAAUCUCAGGGUUGUGGGUUCGAACCCCAUGUCAGGCA
Non-coding RNA from Podarcis lilfordi (Lilford's wall lizard), 73 nucleotides. The record is from the annotation of a GenBank genome assembly. NCBI's taxonomy places the organism in Eukaryota, Metazoa, Chordata, Lepidosauria, Squamata, Lacertidae.